This is a non-coding RNA of Pelobates cultripes (western spadefoot toad), 647 nucleotides long. Lineage: Eukaryota; Metazoa; Chordata; Amphibia; Anura; Pelobatidae. The record is from the annotation of a GenBank genome assembly.
AUCUCAUCCAUUCUAGCCACAAAUUAGUGUCUGAAAACCCAGUCUCUACUGUCAUAGUGUCUUCAAAGGUGGGAUUGGCUAUAGCUACCAUGUCAUGUAGAGUAUUAAUAUGUGGUUUUAACGUGUUAAUAGUCAUGUGAGUGGUUCCUACCCAGUCUGGUGAGGUGAGCCUUUUUGCUAGGUAUGUCUUUGUGGAAAAGGUGCAAACAACUAUGUCACAGUAAUCAAAGGUGUAUGUAGUUACAUCUGUGUUAGAAGAAUUGUACCAGAAAGUGUAAACAUGAUUAUCUUUGGUUAUGGCCACUUGUUGGGCCCAGGCAAAGUGUAGCAGCAUAAGAAAACACAAGACACAUAAUAAAUUCAUAUUUCAGCAAGAUUAGCCUCUUCUGGAGCAGGCACUUUUUUGCAAUGUGAGGCGUGUAUCCAAGAACUCUUCCCGGCUAGUUUAACAGACGUUGCUGUAAUCAGGAGCACUUGAUAUGGGCCAUCAAAUCUUGGUUCUAGGGUGUGUUUCCUGAGAAACUUCUUAACCAUAACCCAAUCACCAGGAAGCAGCUUGUGUGUACCUGUAUUUGACUCAGGAUCUGGAAUAGAAGAAAACACUUGGGCAUGUAUUUUGGUCAAGGCAUGUGAGAGGGCAGUCACAU